GGAAGACUGACCAGGGUGGUGGAGGGCAGCCCUUUAGUGCUAAGCUCCCAGAGUGUGAUUGGGUGAUCCUAAAAGGCUGCAUAAAGGAGAGGAAGGGUGGAGCUGGAGAAAACACGAGGCUGAUGCAACUUGGUCAGAGGACCCAGUUCAUUUGGCAUGUCCUCCACCUCCAUCACAGGGCAGAGUUUCCAUGGGCCCAUUUCUGACUGCCAUUAAGAAGGUCUUGGAAGAAGGCAUCAGCAUCUGUAUGACUUUUUGGCUUCCCACUUUUUAUGCUUUUUGAAGGGAUGCUGGCUGGCACCCAUCUUUCUGAAUUCACUUGGUUGCUCUCAUCCUUAUGUACCACAAUAAGCUCUGCAGGGAUGAAGUGGUGAGGUUUAAAGUGAUGCCACCCCACUGCUUGUGGAGCGCUGCCUUCUGCAGAGCAAGCGGGAUGCGGAUCAGAUCAAACAAGCUUCCAGUUCUUGGUUUGCAUCCCACUAGAGACCCUCUCUGUGCUGCCCAAGCUGAUGAAGGCUCACACCCAAAUGCUUUGGUCAUGGUCAAGAAAGCUCAGCUUUGCUGUGCUCGAGUUUUGGCUCAGCCUCUUCCUCAUGGACCUGUCACACUGGCACAGAACAGAGCUACAAAUAAUUACAGCACAAAAUAAUUACAGCUGUGGCACACUUGACUGAACCAGUGACUUCUCACAUAUUUCCCUCAGUGGACAACAGGAACAAGGUAUAAUGGAUUAUUUGUCACUACAGUGGAAUUUUAAUAUACACAUGGGAAAUACUCUGCGCGAUGCUGUUCUCAAUAGGAAGUGCUUUGUUAUUUCUAACACAACUUUCUUCUGGUCUUCAUUUGUUAAAAUUAAAAUUAUUGAUCUCCUUGGGAAGCACGAGCCUGGUGAUUGCUCCCAAAUACAGCACUGAUACAGAAUCCAUGGACAAAACUGCGUUAUCAUGGAGGUGAUUGCUUAUUGUUAGUUGGAGGAGGUCAGGGAGUGGGAUUAAGCACAUCAUCCAAUCAACCCCGAAGGUGUAAUUCAGUAUAAAUCAUUUUUUAAUCAACAGGAGGAUAUGUUAAAGUCAUUUGCUUGUAGUGUCUGUUUAUAUUGAGAAAAUGCAGUGAUAUUAAAACGGAGUUUAUGUCUCUGGAUUUAUGCUUAAAUUGUUUUUUUUAUUGGCCCGUAGUACAAUAGGCAAAUGAGAUAUUCUCAAAUAAAUGUUUGUCAUCCAGGAU
This 1224-nucleotide long non-coding RNA is filed under the name Coturnix japonica (Japanese quail). Its description in RNAcentral is "lncRNA (ENSCJPG00005006366.1)". Lineage: Eukaryota; Metazoa; Chordata; Aves; Galliformes; Phasianidae. The record is from RNAcentral.